GUAGAGGUGAAAUUCGUAGAUAUUAGGAAGAACACCAGUGGCGAAGGCGACUCACUGGACAGGUAUUGACGCUGAGGUGCGAAAGCGUGGGGAGCGAACAGGAUUAGAUACCCUGGUAGUCCACGCCGUAAACGAUGGUCACUAGCUGUUUGGACUUUUGUCUGAGUGGCUAAGCGAAAGUGAUAAGUGACCCACCUGGGGAGUACGAUCGCAAGAUUGAAACUCAAAGGAAUUGACGGGGGCCCGCACAAGCGGUGGAGCAUGUGGUUUAAUUCGAUGAUACGCGAGGAACCUUACCAGGGCUUAAAUGUAGAGUGACAGGGGUAGAGAUACCUUUUUCUUCGGACACUUUACAAGGUGCUGCAUGGUUGUCGUCAGCUCGUGCCGUGAGGUGUCAGGUUAAGUCCUAUAACGAGCGCAACCCCUGUUGUUAGUUACCAGCACGUAGUGGUGGGGACUCUAACAAGACUGCCGGUGCAAACCGUGAGGAAGGUGGGGAUGACGUCAAAUCAUCACGGCCCUUACGUCCUGGGCUACACACGUGCUACAAUG
RNAcentral lists this ribosomal RNA (552 nucleotides) under Cafeteria roenbergensis. RNAcentral describes it as "partial Bacterial small subunit ribosomal RNA". It matches the Rfam family "Bacterial small subunit ribosomal RNA", at positions 675 to 1232 of the family's 1533-position model. The record is from RNAcentral. Lineage: Eukaryota; Bigyra; Bicosoecida; Cafeteriaceae.